AGCGAACGCCGGCAGCAGGCCUAACACAUGCAAAUCGAACGAAGUCUUCGGACUUAGUGGCGGACGGGUGAGUAACACGUGGGAACGUGCCUUUAGGUUCGGAAUAACUCAGGGAAACUUGUGCUAAUACCGAAUGUGCCCUUCGGGGGAAAGAUUUAUCGCCUUUAGAGCGGCCCGCGUCUGAUUAGCUAGUUGGUGAGGUAAAGGCGGACCAAGGCGACGAUCAGGAGCUGGUCUGAGAGGAUGAUCAGCCACAUUGGGACUGAGACACGGCCCAAACUCCUCCGGGAGGCAGCGGUGGGGAAUCUUGCGCAAUGGGCGAAAGCCUGACGCAGCCAUGCCGCGUGAAUGAUGAAGGUCUUAGGAUUGUAAAAUUCUUUCACCGGGGACGAUAAUGACGGUACCCGGAGAAGAAGCCCCGGCUAACUUCGUGCCAGCCGCCGCAGUAA
RNAcentral lists this ribosomal RNA (449 nucleotides) under uncultured bacterium. RNAcentral describes it as "partial 16S ribosomal RNA". It matches the Rfam family "Bacterial small subunit ribosomal RNA", at positions 29 to 523 of the family's 1533-position model. The record is from RNAcentral.